RNAcentral lists this ribosomal RNA (465 nucleotides) under uncultured bacterium. RNAcentral's name for it is "partial 16S ribosomal RNA". It matches the Rfam family "Bacterial small subunit ribosomal RNA", at positions 28 to 507 of the family's 1533-position model. The record is from RNAcentral.
GAUGAACGCUGGCGGCGUGCUUAACACAUGCAAGUCGAACGGAAAGGCUCCUGCUUGCAGGGGUACUCGAGUGGCGAACGGGUGAGUAACACGUGGGUGAUCUGCCCUGCACUUCGGGAUAAGCCUGGGAAACUGGGUCUAAUACCGGAUAGGACGAUGGUUUGGAUGCCAUUGUGGAAAGUUUUUCGGUGUGGGAUGAGCUCGCGGCCUAUCAGCUUGUUGGUGGGGUAAUGGCCUACCAAGGAGUCGACGGGUAGCCGGCCUGCGAGGGUGUACGGCCAGAUUGGGACUGAGAUACGGCCCAGUCUCCUACGGGAGGCAGCAGUGGGGAAUAUUGCACAAUGGGCGCAAGCCUGAUGCAGCGACGCCGCGUGGGAGAUGACGGCCUUCGGGUUGUAAACUCCUUUCGCUAGGGACGAAACGCAAGUGACGUUACCUUGGGGAGAAGCACCGGCUAACUACGUG